RNAcentral lists this small RNA (693 nucleotides) under Pongo abelii (Sumatran orangutan). Its description in RNAcentral is "processed transcript". The record is from RNAcentral. Lineage: Eukaryota; Metazoa; Chordata; Mammalia; Primates; Hominidae.
GUCACUGAGGGUUGACUGACUGGAGAGCUCAAGUGCAGCAAAGAGAAGUGUCAGAGCAUGAGCGCCAAGUCCAGAACCAUAGGGAUUAUUGGAGCUCCUUUCUCAAAGGGACAGAGUGUGAUGUGAAGGAUUAUGGGGACCUGCCCUUUGCUGACAUCCCUAAUGACAGUCCCUUUCAAAUUGUGAAGAAUCCAAGGUCUGUGGGAAAAGCAAGCGAGCAGCUGGCUGGCAAGGUGGCAGAAGUCAAGAAGAACGGAAGAAUCAGCCUGGUGCUGGGCGGAGACCACAGUUUGGCAAUUGGAAGCAUCUCUGGCCAUGCCAGGGUCCACCCUGAUCUCGGAGUCAUCUGGGUGGAUGCUCACACUGAUAUCAACACUCCACUGACAACCACAAGUGGAAACUUACAUGGACAACCUGUAUCUUUCCUCCUGAGGGAACUAAAAGGAAAGAUUCCCGAUGUGCCAGGAUUCUCCUGGGUGACUCCCUGCAUAUCUGCCAAGGAUAUUGUGUAUAUUGGCUUGAGAGAUGUGGACCCUGGGGAACACUACAUUUUGAAAACUCUAGGCAUUAAAUACUUUUCAAUGACUGAAGUGGACAGACUAGGAAUUGGCAAGGUGAUGGAAGAAACACUCAGCUAUCUACUAGGAAGAAAGAAAAGGCCAAUUCAUCUGAGUUUUGAUGUUGACGGACUGG